This 1228-nucleotide ribosomal RNA is filed under the name Escherichia coli. RNAcentral describes it as "partial 23S ribosomal RNA". It matches the Rfam family "Bacterial large subunit ribosomal RNA", at positions 1 to 1259 of the family's 2925-position model. The record is from RNAcentral. Lineage: Bacteria; Pseudomonadati; Pseudomonadota; Gammaproteobacteria; Enterobacterales; Enterobacteriaceae.
GGGUUGUGAGGUUAAGCGACUAAGCGUACACGGUGGAUGCCCUGGCAGUCAGAGGCGAUGAAGGACGUGCUAAUCUGCGAUAAGCGUCGGUAAGGUGAUAUGAACCGUUAUAACCGGCGAUUUCCGAAUGGGGAAACCCAGUGUGAUUCGUCACACUAUCAUUAACUGAAUCCAUAGGUUAAUGAGGCGAACCGGGGGAACUGAAACAUCUAAGUACCCCGAGGAAAAGAAAUCAACCGAGAUUCCCCCAGUAGCGGCGAGCGAACGGGGAGCAGCCCAGAGCCUGAAUCAGUGUGUGUGUUAGUGGAAGCGUCUGGAAAGGCGCGCGAUACAGGGUGACAGCCCCGUACACAAAAAUGCACAUGCUGUGAGCUCGAUGAGUAGGGCGGGACACGUGGUAUCCUGUCUGAAUAUGGGGGGACCAUCCUCCAAGGCUAAAUACUCCUGACUGACCGAUAGUGAACCAGUACCGUGAGGGAAAGGCGAAAAGAACCCCGGCGAGGGGAGUGAAAAAGAACCUGAAACCGUGUACGUACAAGCAGUGGGAGCACGCUUAGGCGUGUGACUGCGUACCUUUUGUAUAAUGGGUCAGCGACUUAUAUUCUGUAGCAAGGUUAACCGAAUAGGGGAGCCGAAGGGAAACCGAGUCUUAACUGGGCGUUAAGUUGCAGGGUAUAGACCCGAAACCCGGUGAUCUAGCCAUGGGCAGGUUGAAGGUUGGGUAACACUAACUGGAGGACCGAACCGACUAAUGUUGAAAAAUUAGCGGAUGACUUGUGGCUGGGGGUGAAAGGCCAAUCAAACCGGGAGAUAGCUGGUUCUCCCCGAAAGCUAUUUAGGUAGCGCCUCGUGAAUUCAUCUCCGGGGGUAGAGCACUGUUUCGGCAAGGGGGUCAUCCCGACUUACCAACCCGAUGCAAACUGCGAAUACCGGAGAAUGUUAUCACGGGAGACACACGGCGGGUGCUAACGUCCGUCGUGAAGAGGGAAACAACCCAGACCGCCAGCUAAGGUCCCAAAGUCAUGGUUAAGUGGGAAACGAUGUGGGAAGGCCCAGACAGCCAGGAUGUUGGCUUAGAAGCAGCCAUCAUUUAAAGAAAGCGUAAUAGCUCACUGGUCGAGUCGGCCUGCGCGGAAGAUGUAACGGGGCUAAACCAUGCACCGAAGCUGCGGCAGCGACGCUUAUGCGUUGUUGGGUAGGGGAGCGUUCUGUAAGCCUGUGAAGGUGU